RNAcentral lists this transfer RNA (74 nucleotides) under Crassvirales sp. RNAcentral describes it as "tRNA-Lys". It matches the Rfam family "tRNA". From Rfam's summary of the family: Transfer RNA (tRNA) molecules are approximately 80 nucleotides in length. Their secondary structure includes four short double-helical elements and three loops (D, anti-codon, and T loops). Lineage: Duplodnaviria; Heunggongvirae; Uroviricota; Caudoviricetes; Crassvirales. The record is from RNAcentral.
GACUCCAUAGCAUAAUUGGUUAAUGCACUACCCUUUUAAGGUAGGUUAUCUGGGUUCAAGUCCCAGUGGAGUCA